Molecule: unclassified non-coding RNA, 510 nt
Filed under: Hevea brasiliensis (rubber tree)
Lineage: Eukaryota; Viridiplantae; Streptophyta; Magnoliopsida; Malpighiales; Euphorbiaceae
Source: RNAcentral
AUUAGUUUUUUCAUCCCCCAUCACCUGGGUAAAUAUGUUUUAUUAUAUGCUUAAAAUAUACCCACUCUGACAAUGAAGACUAAAAAGCUUCCAAUUCAAGCAUUGUCUAGCACAAAUCUAAUACACAUAAAGAACCAUUUUGUCUCAUAAACCGAUACAAGAAAAAUGUUGACCAAUAUAAGCAAUCUUUGACCCCAAAUUUUUUAAUUUGUUUUAUAAAGACUAUACAGGAUGUUGAGGUGGACCUGGUGUCAACAGAGUAGAAUGGCGAAAAAUAAUUCAUAUAACUGAUCCCAAUUAGUUUGGAAUUAAGGCUUUAGUUGUUGGUGUUUAUAAAGACUAUACUCUUACAUUGGUACUCCAUUUGUUACAAUUAUAGUACAAAGACAUGCAUACAGAUGAAAGGCAUCAAGGACAAGUCACUUGAAACCAUUAGAAACACCAUGCGGUAGACAAAUCACUAGAAGACGUGAAAAUUUUAAAAAUGAAAAAGAUGAACCGGAAUAUAAG